GAUUAGUGUCCAGCAUGUGAUAGAACAGUGUAUCCUAUGGAACAAACUAUAGCUGCAGACAGGAAAGCGUUUCACACAAGAUGUAUCAGAUGUCAGAUGUUUGGAUGUGGAAAUGAUUUGACUGCCCGAGGU
Eurytemora carolleeae is the source of this 132-nucleotide long non-coding RNA. RefSeq lists it as uncharacterized. NCBI's taxonomy places the organism in Eukaryota, Metazoa, Arthropoda, Copepoda, Calanoida, Temoridae. The record is from RefSeq and is a predicted model, not a curated record. The transcript has 3 exons.